RNAcentral lists this ribosomal RNA (485 nucleotides) under uncultured bacterium. RNAcentral's name for it is "bacterial SSU rRNA". It matches the Rfam family "Bacterial small subunit ribosomal RNA", at positions 30 to 507 of the family's 1533-position model. The record is from RNAcentral.
AUUGAACGCUGGCGGCAUGCCUUACACAUGCAAGUCGAACGGUAACAGGUCUUCGGAUGCUGACGAGUGGCGAACGGGUGAGUAAUACAUCGGAACGUGCCCGAUCGUGGGGGAUAACGCAGCGAAAGCUGUGCUAAUACCGCAUACGAUCUACGGAUGAAAGCGGGGGACUCGCAAGGGCCUCGCGCGGACGGAGCGGCCGAUGGCAGAUUAGGUAGUUGGUGGGAUAAAAGCUUACCAAGCCGACGAUCUGUAGCUGGUCUGAGAGGACGACCAGCCACACUGGGACUGAGACACGGCCCAGACUCCUACGGGAGGCAGCAGUGGGGAAUUUUGGACAAUGGGCGCAAGCCUGAUCCAGCCAUGCCGCGUGCAGGAUGAAGGCCUUCGGGUUGUAAACUGCUUUUGUACGGAACGAAAAAGCCUUCUCUAAUAAAGGGGGUGAAUGACGGUACCGUAAGAAUAAGCACCGGCUAACCUACGUG